Molecule: unclassified non-coding RNA, 197 nt
Filed under: plant metagenome
Description: partial contains small subunit ribosomal RNA, internal transcribed spacer 1, and 5.8S ribosomal RNA
Source: RNAcentral
UCUCCGUUGGUGAACCAGCGGAGGGAUCAUUACCGGGUGCAAACUCAUAACCCUUUGUGAACCUAUAUCUGUUGCUUCGGCGGCUCGCUCUCGGGCGAGCCCGCCGGUAAUAUCAGUAUCUCUGUUUGAACCCGACGAUACUUCUGAGUGUGCUUAGCGAACAGUUAAAACUUUUAACAACGGAUCUCUUGGCUCUA